Molecule: long non-coding RNA, 2184 nt
Organism: Cygnus olor (mute swan)
Lineage: Eukaryota; Metazoa; Chordata; Aves; Anseriformes; Anatidae
Exons: 4
Source: RefSeq, a predicted model, not a curated record
UAUGUCCUGCGGAGUGCGAGGUUAGGAGAUUUGGGCAUUGAUUCCAGGAGGGAUUUCUGUAACAUGGGGCACGUCAGGACGCUGCCUUGGAGCAUGUCCCAAACCUUCACGCUGCCUCGCAAUUUUCCAGCUCCUUGCCUGCUUCUUUGACCUGUGCCACUCAGUGGUUUGCCUCCCUCGCUCCCAGAAGCCCAGCCCAGUUCUGAGGCAUUUAUUACCCUACAUAUACUCUGCCACCAUACAGAAAUCUCCUGUGAACCUGUGGAUAUGUGCUGCAUAGUCUGGUCACUGUCAGAGUGCCAGAAAUUUUGUGGUGUCUACAUAUUUAGUUCCCAUAGACUGAAUUUGUCUCCUGCCGCUCGUAAAGAACGUGCCUCUAUCUGCCCAAAAUGGUAGCUUAAGCAGGUUGUUGGGCCCCGAAGGCUCAGGAUGUGGAAAGCUUAGGGCAUGGAAAAAACCUGCCUGCAAGUAGUGGGAGGGAGCACUGCUUUGAGAAAGGGGAAAACCUAGUAGCAAAGCAGGGAUCGUAAGAGUGGCUUGGGAGAACUUUGGAGGCAAAGAGAAUUAAAUGAUGGGGUCAGGGUAGAUCAGGGUGCCACUGAGAAUUUGCUGGAAGAAAAGGAAAUUAGUACCUUACAGAAUUGAGGGCAUAUAAAGAGCUAAACAUGUACAGUGAACCAGAGCACAUGUAGGUUAUAUACUUGAAGUCCUAACUGAUGGUUUUCUGCUGUCUUUAUCUUCAUGCUUAUCAGGACUGUGAGACCUUUUUGCAGCCUGCCAGCCUCCUUAUGGAAAGUGUUAAAAGCCACGUGAGAGAGGUGUAGCCAGAAGACACCAACCUUCCAAGCCAGCAUUUUGGCUUUGAGGCUAAAAUAACACACAGGAAAAUCUAUGCACUGCUAGAAGCAUUCCUAACUGCAUUAGAUCUUCCUUAUCAAUCUAAGCCUGCCUUUGGAAUUGUGCCAUGGAUUCUCAGGCUUGUGUUCAGGAAGUGUUUCUGAUAAUAAUGGCCUUCUGGAAGCACCACGCUGAAAUUCUGUAUUUCUGUAUUUCUGAGUGUGGUUAGGGAGAGCCCAUCAGCAGUGUCCCUUGUUCUGGAGGUGAGAUCCCCAUCUCUAGUGAUGGAAGGAAGCCGUUUCUGUUUCCAAAUGUAAUCCACGUGCUCUUCAGAGACACCAUGGAGGAAAGAGUAAGUGUCCAUCAAACAAGCAGUGAGAGGGGACAAGGGCCGAUGAGGCUUGCCGGUAUGGUAUACGAGGCAGCAGGGUACAGACAGAUCAGGAUGACAGAAAUAAGGGUACCUGUUGGGGGGACAGGGGUUGAGCAGGGCAAAGAAGACAGAGGUGAAAUGGGAGGAGUGAGGGAGAGGGGGAAAGCAAGGCAAGCUUGUGGAGCGGGUCAGAAUUGGUACCAUAUCCCUAGGUUUAGUCUGCAGAGAGCUUUCUGUAUCUCUCUUGCUUUUAUCGUGUCACAGAAAUCUAAUUCUGAAGUCCUUAUUAAGCAUCACGUACGUCUUCUAUGGCCAAAUGCUUCUAGAGCUCGACAGGCACCAGACACCAAACAGAGAGCUGUUCUGCUGCAGGGAUUUUAUGUUUCUGCUAAAUCAAGAACUUCAGAUCCUUGGGGUGAAAGUGCAAUAUUUGCCCCUGCACGUGAGAUAUUAGGUAUUGCGUUCUACCUGGCAGUUACUGUGCAACUUUAACAUAGCUUUGUGCUGCUGGUUUUGUUUGUUUGUUUGUUUGUUUUCCUAAGAGAAUUGAUGUAUGUCUGAAGAGUCUCACAGUAACCAGGGAAAAGGGAUAAGUGAUAGACACACAUACACUAUUUGUAGAUAAAUGAAAGGGAAUUUUCAGAGCAAUGAAGUAGUUUAGGACGGAUCAGUUUGUUGGUAGAAUAUUAAGAAGAAUCCAUGCCAGAAAUGGAAUAUCACAGGGUUAUGGGAUUCCUUUUUUCAUACAACUCAUGGCUUUUCUGAUGAAAGUUUUGUUCUCCAUUGACUUUUCAUCAGUCCCCAACUGGGACCCUGAAGAACUCCCUGUCAUGAAAUCUCAGGACAGAACGCCUCGUCUGUGACGGGGACUUUCCAAGGUGAAUAAUGAACAGUAAUACCAUCAGAUGACAACAAGUGCAUGCAGCCAGAAUGAUGGGAGAACACAGAAACAGCGACACGGUAUCUCUAACUCU